UACGUAGGUGGCAAGCGUUGUCCGGAUUUAUUGGGUUUAAAGGGUGCGUAGGCGGUCCUAUAAGUCAGUGGUGAAAUACGGCAGCUCAACUGUCGAGGUGCCAUUGAUACUGUAGGACUAGAGUACUGUUGAGGUAGGCGGAAUGGACGGUGUAGCGGUGAAAUGCUUAGAUAUCGUCCAGAACACCGAUAGCGAAGGCAGCUUACUAAAGAGUAACUGACGCUGAGGCACGAAAGUGUGGGGAUCAAACAGG
This 253-nucleotide ribosomal RNA is filed under the name uncultured bacterium. Its description in RNAcentral is "partial 16S ribosomal RNA". It matches the Rfam family "Bacterial small subunit ribosomal RNA", at positions 524 to 776 of the family's 1533-position model. RNAcentral also lists the same sequence under 1 other name. The record is from RNAcentral.